Molecule: long non-coding RNA, 381 nt
Filed under: Manihot esculenta (cassava)
Lineage: Eukaryota; Viridiplantae; Streptophyta; Magnoliopsida; Malpighiales; Euphorbiaceae
Description: long non-coding RNA (MESC_LNC010040)
Source: RNAcentral
AAGUUUUGAGCAUGUUCAUGCAUCAUGAAUGCCAUGUGAUGAUUUAGGUUGUUUGCAUUAGAAUUCACGAAUAUGUUGCAUUGCAUACUUUACUGUUGUUGAUUGUGGAUGAAUGUUGGAUGAUCCAUAGUCCUCGAUCUAUGAUGUGACGAUGUGAUAUGAUUGGUACGGAAUGUAAGACCAGUGGGACCCAUUCUACGUUCGCUGGCACUAUGUAAGAGAAAGACCAGGACCCAUUCUACGUUCUAGCACAGUUGGACUGUUAUGUUAUGCUAUGUAAGAGAAAGACCAGGACCCAUUCUACGUUCUGGCACAGUUGGACUAUGUAGAGGGCUAUUGGUGACAAGUUCAUCCUUGAUGUGAUUAGCUGUGAUGUGAUGC